RNAcentral lists this ribosomal RNA (464 nucleotides) under uncultured bacterium. RNAcentral's name for it is "bacterial SSU rRNA". It matches the Rfam family "Bacterial small subunit ribosomal RNA", at positions 9 to 468 of the family's 1533-position model. The record is from RNAcentral.
GAGUUUGAACCUGGCUCAGGAUGAACGCUGGCGGCGUGCUUAACACAUGCAAGUCGAACGGACCUGUACUGAAACCUAGUGAUUUACAGGUUAGUGGCGGACGGGUGAGUAACGCGUGGAAAACCUGCCGUAUACUGGGGGAUAACACUUAGAAAUAGGUGCUAAUACCGCAUAAGCGCACAGGCCCGCAUGGGACAGUGUGAAAAACUCCGGUGGUAUACGAUGGUUCCGCGUCUGAUUAGCUUGUUGGCGGGGUAACGGCCCACCAAGGCGACAAUCAGUAGCCGGCCUGAGAGGGUGAACGGCCACAUUGGGACUGAGACACGGCCCAGACUCCUACGGGAGGCAGCAGUGGGGAAUAUUGCACAAUGGGGGAAACCCUGAUGCAGCGACGCCGCGUGAGUGAAGAAGUAUCUCGGUACGUAAAGCUCUAUCAGCAGGGAAGAAAAAAAGUCCUUGGCUUU